This 253-nucleotide ribosomal RNA is filed under the name uncultured bacterium. Its description in RNAcentral is "partial 16S ribosomal RNA". It matches the Rfam family "Bacterial small subunit ribosomal RNA", at positions 524 to 776 of the family's 1533-position model. The record is from RNAcentral.
UACGAAGGUCCCGAGCGUUGUUCGGAUUUACUGGGCGUAAAGCGUCUGUAGGCGGCGCGGCAAGUCAGAUGUGAAAGCCCGGGGCUCAACCCCGGAACUGCAUCCGAUACUGCCGUGCUGGAGGAUCGGAGGGGAGUCUGGAAUUCACGGUGUAGCAGUGAAAUGCGUAGAUAUCGUGAGGAACACUAGUGGCGAAGGCGAGACUCUGGACGAUUCCUGACGCUGAGAGACGAAGGCCAGGGGAGCGAAAAGG